This 372-nucleotide ribosomal RNA is filed under the name uncultured bacterium. Its description in RNAcentral is "bacterial SSU rRNA". It matches the Rfam family "Bacterial small subunit ribosomal RNA", at positions 523 to 898 of the family's 1533-position model. The record is from RNAcentral.
AUACGUAGGGGGCGAGCGUUGUCCGGAUUUACUGGGCGUAAAGGGUGAGUAGGCGGUUGUAUAUGUCAGAUGUAAAAGGCUAAGGCUUAACCAUAGUUAGCAUUUGAAACUGUACAACUUGAGUGCAGGAGAGGUAAGCGGAAUUCCUAGUGUAGCGGUGAAAUGCGUAGAUAUUAGGAGGAACACCAGUGGCGAAGGCGGCUUACUGGACUGUAACUGACGCUGAGUCACGAAAGCGUGGGUAGCAAACAGGAUUAGAUACCCUGGUAGUCCACGCUGUAAACGAUGAGUGCUAGGUGUUGGGUAGCGAUACUCAGUGCCGAAGUAAACACAAUAAGCACUCCGCCUGGGGAGUACGGUCGCAAGACUGAA